AUAUAUAUAUAUAUGGAAAACUUAAUAAAAUAUUAAAAUAAAAACUUUAAUUAAACCUCAAUCAAAAUUUAAUCAAACCUUAAUCAAAUCUUAAUCAAAUCUUAAUCAAAUCUUAAUCAAAUCCUUCUCAAAUCCUAAUCAACUCAUUAAUAAGUCCUAACUAAAUUCUAGACAAAUCCUAGUCAAACCUUAGUCAAGUCCUAAUCAAAUCCUAAUCAAAUUCUAAUCAAAUUCUAAACUAGUUCUAAUAAAAUCCUAGUCAAAUCCUAAUCAAAUCCUAAUCAAAAUUUUAAACAAAUCAAAAAUAGAUUCUAAUGAAAUCCUAAUAAAUCCCUAGUCAAAUCCUAGACAAAUCCUAAUCAAAUUCUAGUCAAAUUCUAAUCAAAUCUUAAUCAAAUCCUAAUCAAAUCCUAAUCAAAUCUUUAUAAAAUUCUAAUCAAAUCCUAACCCUAAUCAAAUCUUAAAUCAAUACAAAAUCACAAUCCUAAUCCUAAAUCAAAUCCU
RNAcentral lists this long non-coding RNA (504 nucleotides) under Physcomitrium patens. RNAcentral describes it as "long non-coding RNA (PPAT_LNC009029)". Lineage: Eukaryota; Viridiplantae; Streptophyta; Bryopsida; Funariales; Funariaceae. The record is from RNAcentral.